CCGUUGUAGAUGAAACAUUUGCAGCUUGUGUGUCGUCAUUAACCUCCGCGUUUAACUGUACAGGCCACAUAGUAGGUGGUGCUUGUUUACCUGAUAGUAUACCAUACUGUUUAACUAAUGGAGAAAUUGUCCUGGGGUCCUGCGAUGCCAAAGCUAAAGUUUGUGAAGAUGGGGAAGAAGUAGAUGUAACAGGUGUAUCUUGUGCUGAUCCUUUUGAUUGUAAUUUCUUUAAUCCCGAUGAGAUAUGCCGUCCUGAUAUGGUGCCAUACUGUUUAAAAAGUGGUGAAACAAUAAACGGUAUAUGUGAAACAAAAAAGGCCAUUUGUGGGGAAGGGAAAGAACUGGAUUCUACUGGAGAUUCAUGUAAAGACAAUGGUGCUAGAACAUUGAGCCUUUCCGUUAUAUUGGUAUUCACUAUUUCCUGUUUCAGGUUAUUUGAAAUGUAAAUUAUCUAUAUUUCGAAUUUGCGAUUUUAAGAAAUAACGAAAUUAUAAGCAUUUGUAUUUAUUUUGUAUAAGAAUCCGUUCAAUAUUUUUUGUACUCUAUUAUGCCUAUGACCUCGAACCUUGUUUAUUAAAAAAAAUGAAGGCUACAUUAGGCACCUUUUUGUACUGAUAACAAAAAGAUAAAUGGAACUUAUUAUAAUACUGUAAGUGAAUUUAGAUUUAGUUAGAUAAUGGUUUAUUUCUAUAAUGGCAUU
This is a long non-coding RNA of Patella vulgata (common limpet), 700 nucleotides long. RefSeq lists it as uncharacterized. The transcript is spliced from 3 exons. The record is from RefSeq and is a predicted model, not a curated record. Lineage: Eukaryota; Metazoa; Mollusca; Gastropoda; Patellidae.